AUGGAGGACGGGGCUUCGGAUUUCAGCGACUGGGAGGUGCUAUCUGCAUCCUCGGGGGUCGGAGGCGAUGACGCCGUCCUUGUGUCCGGGGAAGGCGGCGACGUCCUCCACGACCACUUCGCCCUCGACUCCUCUUCCUCCACUGGCUUCUCCGGCGAGGGCUCGUGGUCGGAGGCUGCCUCCGACGACGUGGAAAUUGAAUCCGGGUUAGGAUCAGUGGACAGAUUUGGUUCUGCUAUGCAAGAGCAGACGGAUCUUAUUGGGGUGGUGGAUUCCAGCGCACAGUUGCAAUUAGGCUGGAUUGAUGUGACUGCACAAGCCUCGCCGGUUUUUGGAGCCUCCGUGGCAUGUGGUGGGGACGCACAUGAGAAGCAAACUGCGGGGUUAAGUUGUGGUGAGCUUGAUUGGAUUCCGCAAGCCGCGCUUCAAGGGUUGGAGGGAAUUUUGGACUCCGAUGCAACUGCGGUCGCCGGUGUAAGACUCCAGAUAGAAAUAUCAGAGAAGUCUAGUUUGCAAUUGGAAGAUGGAGGGGCUGAUGCCCUUAGCGAAAGCUCUGUUCUUCAAGCUGCUGCAACAAGCGAUGCAAUGCAGACUCUGCAGGAAGAGCCGGAGCAAGGGAAGGAUGCUAGUGCCGCUUCUGGUUGUGCUGAACCUGGUGGCGAUGACAAGGAUGGUUCUUCCCCUCUGGUUGCAGCUGCAGCUCCGGUCACCGGUGAUGGAGAGAGGCAAGUGGUUGUAUGGUGGAGGCUGCCGUUCAGGUUCAUCCAUUAUUGUGCUUGGAAAGUGAGUCCGGUUUGGCCGAUUUCCAUCGCUGCAGCGUUGCUGGGGAUAGUUGUGCUCGGGAGGAGGAUGUAUAGGAUGAGGCGCAAGACCCAGGGCCUUCCCCAGAUUAAGAUCGCAUUUGAUGAUAAGAGGGCCUCCCAGUUUGCAGACCGCGCAGCACGUCUCAACGAGGCCUUCUUGAUCGCAAAACGUGUACCCGCUCUGAGAACUUUGUCUGGUGCUGCACUCCCCUGGUCAAUGAUGCAAGAGAGAUGA
RNAcentral lists this ribosomal RNA (1038 nucleotides) under Triticum aestivum (bread wheat). Its description in RNAcentral is "partial small subunit ribosomal RNA". Lineage: Eukaryota; Viridiplantae; Streptophyta; Magnoliopsida; Poales; Poaceae. The record is from RNAcentral.